AUGCAAGUCGAACGGUAACAUUUCUAGCUUGCUAGAAGAUGACGAGUGGCGGACGGGUGAGUAAUGCUUGGGAACUUGCCUUUGCGAGGGGGAUAACAGUUGGAAACGACUGCUAAUACCGCAUAAUGUCUUCGGACCAAACGGGGCUUAGGCUCCGGCGCAAAGAGAGGCCCAAGUGAGAUUAGCUAGUUGGUAAGGUAACGGCUUACCAAGGCGACGAUCUCUAGCUGUUCUGAGAGGAAGAUCAGCCACACUGGGACUGAGACACGGCCCAGACUCCUACGGGAGGCAGCAGUGGGGAAUAUUGCACAAUGGGGGAAACCCUGAUGCAGCCAUGCCGCGUGUGUGAAGAAGGCCUUCGGGUUGUAAAGCACUUUCAGUUGUGAGGAAAAGUUAGUAGUUAAUACCUGCUAGCCGUGACGUUAAUAACAGAAGAAGCACCGGCUAACUCCGUGCCAGCAGCCGCGGUAAUACGGAGGGUGCGAGCGUUAAUCGGAAUUACUGGGCGUAAAGCGCACGCAGGCGGUUUGUUAAGCUAGAUGUGAAAGCCCC
This 552-nucleotide ribosomal RNA is filed under the name uncultured bacterium. RNAcentral describes it as "bacterial SSU rRNA". It matches the Rfam family "Bacterial small subunit ribosomal RNA", at positions 55 to 604 of the family's 1533-position model. The record is from RNAcentral.